GACGAACGCUGGCGGCGUGCCUAAUACAUGCAAGUAGAACGCACAGUUUAUACCGUAGCUUGCUACACCAUAAACUGUGAGUUGCGAACGGGUGAGUAACGCGUAGGUAACCUGCCUGGUAGCGGGGGAUAACUAUUGGAAACGAUAGCUAAUACCGCAUAAUAUUAAUUAUUGCAUGAUAAUUGAUUGAAAGAUGCAAUUGCAUCACUACCAGAUGGACCUGCGUUGUAUUAGCUAGUAGGUGAGGUAACGGCUCACCUAGGCGACGAUACAUAGCCGACCUGGGAGGGUGAUCGGCCAAACUGGGACUGAGACACGGCCCAGACUCCUACGGGAGGCAGCAGUAGGGAAUCUUCGGCAAUGGACGAAAGUCUGACCGAGCAACGCCGCGUGAGUGAAGAAGGUUUUCGGAUCGGAAAGCUCUGUUGUAAGAGAAGAACGGGUGUGAGAGUGGAAAGUUCACACUGUGACGGUAUCUGACCAGAAAGGGACGGCUAACUACGUG
This 505-nucleotide ribosomal RNA is filed under the name uncultured bacterium. RNAcentral's name for it is "partial 16S ribosomal RNA". It matches the Rfam family "Bacterial small subunit ribosomal RNA", at positions 28 to 507 of the family's 1533-position model. The record is from RNAcentral.